UGACUUUAUUUUACAUAUACAUCAGUCAAUGG
Molecule: non-coding RNA, 32 nt
Filed under: Homo sapiens (human)
Lineage: Eukaryota; Metazoa; Chordata; Mammalia; Primates; Hominidae
Source: RNAcentral